CCCUAGUAACGGCGAGUGAAGCGGCAACAGCUCAAAUUUGAAAUCUGGCGUCUUCGGCGUCCGAGUUGUAAUUUGCAGAGGGCGCUUUGGCAUUGGCAGCGGUCCAAGUUCCUUGGAACAGGACGUCACAGAGGGUGAGAAUCCCGUACGUGGUCGCUAGCCUUUACCGUGUAAAGCCCCUUCGACGAGUCGAGUUGUUUGGGAAUGCAGCUCUAAAUGGGAGGUAAAUUUCUUCUAAAGCUAAAUACUGGCCAGAGACCGAUAGCGCACAAGUAGAGUGAUCGAAAGAUGAAAAGCACUUUGGAAAGAGAGUUAAAAAGCACGUGAAAUUGUUGAAAGGGAAGCGCUUGCAGCCAGACUUGCCUGUAGUUGCUCAUCCGGAUUUCUACCCGGUGCACUCUUCUACGGGCAGGCCAGCAUCAGUUUGGGCGGUUGGAUAAAGGUCUCUGUCAUGUACCUCUCUUCGGGGAGAACUUAUAGGGGAGACGACAUGCAACCAGCCUGGACUGAGGUCCGCGCAUCUGCUAGGAUGCUGGCGUAAUGGCUGUAAGCGGCCCGUCUUGAAACACGGACCAAGGAGUCUAACAUCUAUGCGAGUGUUUGGGUGUCAAGCCCGAGCGCGUAAUGAAAGUGAACGGAGGUGGGAACCUUUCGGGGUGCACCAUCGACCGAUCCUGAUGUCUUCGGAUGGAUUUGAGUAAGAGCAUAGCUGUUGGGACCCGAAAGAUGGUGAACUAUGCUUGAAUAGGGUGAAGCCAGAGGAAACUCUGGUGGAGGCUCGCAGCGGUUCUGACGUGCAAAUCGAUCGUCAAAUUUGGGCAUAGGGGCGAAA
Molecule: ribosomal RNA, 832 nt
Filed under: Phoma sp. KH00184
Lineage: Eukaryota; Fungi; Ascomycota; Dothideomycetes; Pleosporales; Didymellaceae
Description: eukaryotic LSU rRNA
Rfam family: Eukaryotic large subunit ribosomal RNA
Source: RNAcentral